AACGAACGCUGGCGGCGUGCCUAACACAUGCAAGUCGAACGAGAAAGGGGCUUCGGCUCCGAGUAAAGUGGCGCACGGGUGAGUAACACGUGGGUAACCUGCCUCUAAGAUUGGGAUAACUCGUCGAAAGAUGAGCUAAUACCGAAUAAGACCACAGUUCCCGCGGGAACAGGGGUCAAAGGUAGCCUCUGCUUGCAAGCUAUCACUUAGAGAUGGGCCUGCGCACCAUUAGCUAGUUGGUAGGGUAACGGCCUACCAAGGCAAAGAUGGUUAGCUGGUCUGAGAGGAUGAUCAGCCACACUGGAACUGAGACACGGUCCAGACUCCUACGGGAGGCAGCAGUGGGGAAUAUUGCGCAAUGGGCGAAAGCUUGACGCAGCAACGCCGCGUGAGUGAUGAAGGCCUUCGGGUCGUAAAGCUCUGUCGGGAGGAACGAAUGCUCCUGAGGUUAACAGCCUCGGGAGGUGACGGGACCUUCAAAGGAAGCACCGGCUAACUCUGU
This 502-nucleotide ribosomal RNA is filed under the name uncultured bacterium. Its description in RNAcentral is "partial 16S ribosomal RNA". It matches the Rfam family "Bacterial small subunit ribosomal RNA", at positions 29 to 506 of the family's 1533-position model. The record is from RNAcentral.